Long non-coding RNA from Saccostrea echinata, 2154 nucleotides. RefSeq lists it as uncharacterized. NCBI's taxonomy places the organism in Eukaryota, Metazoa, Mollusca, Bivalvia, Ostreida, Ostreidae. The transcript is spliced from 7 exons. The record is from RefSeq and is a predicted model, not a curated record.
GGUUUAAGAAGAUUAUAGGAUAUGUCAUAGAAUACGAAGACCCCACCACUGGAGGCAGGCUAAUGACUACCCAGUAGAUGAGUGUGUUUAUGAGGUGAAGGGAUUAAAAAAGGACAAGGAAUACAACUUCCACAUACAGGCCAAGAAUCUUGAAGGUUUUUAAAUUAGUGAGUCUAGUGAUGUGAUUGGUCCCAUAACUCCCAAGCCCAAAUACACCAAGGUUUUGCCACCUGGUGUACCAGAGGCUGUCAACAAUUCUAUAACUUAUCUGAAAUGGGAACCACCUAAACAUAAUGGUGGCUGUAAAAUUACAGACUACCUUGUAGAAGAGAGGUUUAAGGGAACAGAGAAAUGAGUACCCCUGCACUGACCCCUCUUUACUGUCACCGAUCUUCCUCAGGACUCAGAGUGGGAGUUUAGAGUUACAGCUGUUAACUUUGCUGGAAACUGUGAGCCCAGUCUGUGCUCACCAGCAUACAAAAUCCAGGAGAAGAUUGAGUCUUUUGCAAUUGAGCAGGAUGAUGAAUCACAACAAUCAUUUGUAAAUGAAAGCAGCAGUCAUGAUGUUGUCAAUGAGAAUGAAUUUUAAAUAGGACAUGAUACAGGGCCACUUUUAAGUGAUGAAGCAGACGAGUAUGAUGAUGGUAAUGAUGAUGAAUCAUACCAUCCUUCAAGCGAUGAAAAAAGCUGUGAUGAAGAUACCAUUAAUGAUCUUGAUAUGCCCAGUAAGCCUCUCAAAUCUGAAAUGCAGCAGAAACAAGCUGCACUUGCAAGUGACAGCGAAAAGGACAGUGAAUGUGAAGAUGAUCAUGAUGAUGUCGGCAAAGUUUUACCACAGUCAGAGAAGCGAAAGACCAGGUUUUUAGAGGCCAAAAACAUCGUCUGGGAACUAUGAUAAUAAAAAACAUUCAUGUCUCUUUUGUGAGAAGUUUUGCUAGCAGGCAGUUGAUGGUAUGCAUAUCAUAUAAGCCCAUAGCUCUUUAAGUACAAAAAAUUGUGAGAUUCAUUUUUGCAUAUAGGUUCAGGAUGGAGCUGAAUAUUGAAAAAAUAUAUCCUAUAAAUUUUUUUUCAUGGACAUGUAGCAGACAGCUGUUUGCAUAAUUUAAGCAAGUAAUUAUUUUUUAACCAAAAUUUGUGAAAUUUAUCGCUCAUGACCCAUUGUUCAUGCAAGGUUUACCUAUUUAUAUUGAAACUGCAACAGGCCCAUAGAACUCCCCCCCCCCCCACUUUUUCUGAGUAUAGUAUUUUGCUAUAGUAAAGUAUCCUUUAUAUCCUGGUUGCCCCUCCUCCCCCCCCCCCCUUUUUGUUGCAAUAAGGUCGGUUCAGUAAAUAAUGUUUUUUUUUGCUUGUCAGAUAUUUUUUGAAGCCCCCCUACUUUUGAAACCCUUGCUAUGGGCUGUAAAUUGAAGUUUUAAAAAAUCCUUUACUGGUGAACAUCUAGCAGGCAAACUAGCAGGCAUAAAAUUAAAUAUGAAGAUUAUGAAUAGUAAUCAAACUCAAAAGUCCAUUAGAAUAAUCCAUAUUCGUAGCAGAGCAAACAUGGACCUCUAAAAUUAAUCUUAAUUAAUGCUUAGCCCUCUAAUUGAAGGCUUCUUCAUGUUUCAAGCCCAUGAAAAGGCAGAGUUAGUCAUAAAUUAGAAUGUUUUAUACAGUAUUAGCCAGUAUACCUUAUCCUCUUUACUUUUGAACUUCUAGGAGUUCAGCUGCAUCAAUAUGAUAAUAAAUAUAGAAUUCUUGUGAAAAUUUACGAUUUUUGUUGCAUGGGUCUAGAUUUCUAGAUCCAGGCGGUUUUGAAAUGACCACAGCCUGAGAAAUUCAUAAUACUCAGGUAAUAGUCAAAGCCUAGGGCCUUUUGUUGCAUUUUAAACACAGGAAGUUAUUAAUUGCAUGAUAUUUAUAUUUCUUGCUUGGUUGUCAGCUUUAAGCUUAAAGAGUUUUUUUUUUAUUUCGAAACUUGUAUGUUGUUUAAUGCACUAAGAAAAUGCCACUAUAUUUUGCACAAAUACUGACUGAUUGUCCUUGGUUGUUCUGUGAAAAUAAACUUAUUUUGGAUACCUUAAAAAUUAACAGCAAGAAUUAUCUAUUAACACUUGGCUUAUACAUGUGUAUCUUAUUUCAUGUCAGCAUUCUUUUUAUGUACUUUUUUGUAUAGUU